RNAcentral lists this ribosomal RNA (253 nucleotides) under uncultured bacterium. RNAcentral's name for it is "partial 16S ribosomal RNA". It matches the Rfam family "Bacterial small subunit ribosomal RNA", at positions 524 to 776 of the family's 1533-position model. The record is from RNAcentral.
UACGAAGGGGGCUAGCGUUGUUCGGAAUCACUGGGCGUAAAGGGCGCGCAGGCGGCCAUUCAAGUCAGAUGUGAAAGCCCCGGGCUCAACCUGGGAGGUGCAUUUGGGACUGGAUGGCUUGAGAUCGGGAGAGGAGAGUGGAAUUCCCAGUGUAGAGGUGAAAUUCGUAGAUAUUGGGAAGAACACCGGUGGCGAAGGCGGCUCUCUGGACCGAUGCUGACGCUGAGGCGCGAAAGCGUGGGGAGCAAACAGG